AGCGAACGCUGGCGGCAGGCCUAACACAUGCAAGUCGAACGAACCUUUCGGGGUUAGUGGCGGACGGGUGAGUAACACGUGGGAACGUGCCUUUAGGUUCGGAAUAACUCAGGGAAACUUGUGCUAAUACCGAAUGUGCCCUUCGGGGGAAAGAUUAAUCGCCUUUAGAGCGGCCCGCGUCUGAUUAGCUAGUUGGUUGAGGUAAUGGCUCACCAAGGUGACGAUCAGUAGCUGGUCUGAGAGGAUGAUCAGCCACAUUGGGACUGAGACACGGCCCAAACUCCUACGGGAGGCAGCAGUGGGGAAUCUUGCGCAAUGGGCGAAAGCCUGACGCAGCCAUGCCGCGUGAAUGAUGAAGGUCUUAGGAUUGUAAAAUUCUUUCACCGGGGACGAUAAUGACGGUACCCGGAGAAGAAGCCCCGGCUAACUUCGUG
RNAcentral lists this ribosomal RNA (434 nucleotides) under uncultured bacterium. RNAcentral's name for it is "partial 16S ribosomal RNA". It matches the Rfam family "Bacterial small subunit ribosomal RNA", at positions 29 to 507 of the family's 1533-position model. The record is from RNAcentral.